UUUUAAUAUGAAUUUACCAACUUUCAAUAUAAAUGAAAAUCUGGACAUGAAUUAAGACAGUAAUUAAAAUCCUACAGAGAUGCAAACUUUUAAUAUACUUCUCAAAGUGUUAAAUCAAUGCAAUAUGUAAAAUGCAUGAUCAAAUUUUAAAACCUCAAAUUAAAAGUCUGUUCGCACUAGAAAAAUACAAGCAAAUACAUUAGCAACCAACAAUAAAUUAAAACCUAAACAUCCAGCAUAAUUUGAACUUUGAAGAAAAAAUUCCAGCAACACUAGCAUCCAGAAAUUCCAGCAACACCAGCACCAACAUCCAGAAAUUCCAGCAACACCAACAUCCAAAAAUUCCAGCAACAUCCAGAAAUUCCAGAAAUUCCACCAACAUCCAGAAAUUCCAGCAACACCAGCACCAACAUCCAAAAAUUUAUCAUCGGUAAAAAAAUCAGUUAACUUUCAAAUCCAAAAUCAUUCAACAGCACAAAAACAGAAAUCUAAUCUAGAAUGAAUAAUUAAUACAAGUUAAUUGCUAAGCAUCAAACACAUUAAUAGUUAACAUUACAGAAUGAAAGUACUAGGAAUAUAUGGGGAAAAAACCUAAAAGCCAAUUUCCUUUUCGUUUUUCUUUUCUAAACCUUAUACUGUUCUUUCCACUUUCCAAAUAAAUAAGGUGGUCAUCAAAUUCCCCCAGAAAAUAUUCAUAAUAUGCUAAGAUUUUCAAGGAAGAACCAUAGAAAGUGGUUACGAUUUUCAAAUAUUACUAGAAUUUGUGUAAAUUAAUGUGAAAUCUGCACUCUUGUUAUGCAGUACUAAGAUUGAUCGUGGCUAGAAGGCUUAACAAAGCAAAAUAUCAACAGAUUCAAAACAAUCAAAAUAAACCGAUACAUAUUAAAGUUAACAACACUUAACAAAGCAAUCAAGAACUCAAUAUCAACAUAUUCAAAAAAAAAUCAACAGAAAGAAGAAAAGGGCACGGGAAAGAGGGGCAAACCUGAAGAAAUAUGUAAAAACCCUAGCUGCAAAAGAAUAGAAAAAGAAGAAGUAGAGGUCAGAGAUCUCGAAUGGAACAAAUGUUACAAUACAACUUACAAGCACACGAAGCCCAUAAUUAAAACAUGGAUAAACAUUAAACUUUACCUCUUUGACUCUUUUUGCUGCAAGUGAAGAGAGACGCCGAGGGGUUUUGUUCGAGUUUUUUUUCGACUUCGAGUAUACUAGAUGAGUAGUAGAUCGAUGCGGAGAUGAGGGUUAUUUACUUGUUGAUCGGCUAGAGAAGAGAAAUAUACAGGGGGCAAGAGGCAGAGAUGAAGAAAAUUGAAAGGGAAAGUAGGAAGGAGAGAAGACUUUGGUCUGGUGUGGGCGGUGGCUU
RNAcentral lists this long non-coding RNA (1363 nucleotides) under Populus tremula. Its description in RNAcentral is "long non-coding RNA (PTRE_LNC001681)". The record is from RNAcentral. Lineage: Eukaryota; Viridiplantae; Streptophyta; Magnoliopsida; Malpighiales; Salicaceae.